AAAACGACUCUCGGCAACGGAUAUCUCGGCUCUCGCAUCGAUGAAGAACGCAGCGAAAUGCGAUACGUGGUGUGAAUUGCAGAAUUCCGUGAAUCAUCGAGUUUUUGAACGCAAGUUGCGCCCAAAGCCAUUUGGUUGAGGGCACGCCUGCUUGGGCGUCACGCACC
This 167-nucleotide ribosomal RNA is filed under the name Pilea microphylla. RNAcentral describes it as "5.8S ribosomal RNA". It matches the Rfam family "5.8S ribosomal RNA". Rfam says of the family: 5.8S ribosomal RNA (5.8S rRNA) is a component of the large subunit of the eukaryotic ribosome. It is transcribed by RNA polymerase I as part of the 45S precursor that also contains 18S and 28S rRNA. The record is from RNAcentral. Lineage: Eukaryota; Viridiplantae; Streptophyta; Magnoliopsida; Rosales; Urticaceae.